AUUGCACCUCCACCUUUUACAGGAAUUACUGUUUGCACAGAACCUUUACCAAAAGAUUUUUUACCAACAAUAAUUGCUUUCUUAUGAUCUUGAAGAGCUCCAGCAAUAAUUUCUGAAGCAGAAGCCGAAUUUUCAUUUAUCAGUACAACUGUAGGAAAACUUUCAAAAAUUCCACCUUUACUAGCGUUAUAAUAUUUUUCCUUUGCUUUAUCACGACCACGAACUGAAACAAUCUUUCCUUCGCUUAAAAAAUAAUCACAUAUGGUUAUUGCCUGACUUAAAAGUCCGCCGGGAUUAUUGCGCAA
RNAcentral lists this non-coding RNA (305 nucleotides) under Candidatus Neoehrlichia procyonis str. RAC413. RNAcentral's name for it is "Candidatus Neoehrlichia lotoris str. RAC413 Rickettsia sRNA47". It matches the Rfam family "Rickettsia sRNA47". The record is from Rfam by way of RNAcentral. Lineage: Bacteria; Pseudomonadati; Pseudomonadota; Alphaproteobacteria; Rickettsiales; Anaplasmataceae.